Molecule: transfer RNA, 72 nt
Filed under: Camelus bactrianus (Bactrian camel)
Lineage: Eukaryota; Metazoa; Chordata; Mammalia; Artiodactyla; Camelidae
Also listed under: 2 other names
Rfam family: tRNA
About the family: Transfer RNA (tRNA) molecules are approximately 80 nucleotides in length. Their secondary structure includes four short double-helical elements and three loops (D, anti-codon, and T loops). Further hydrogen bonds mediate the characteristic L-shaped molecular structure. tRNAs have two regions of fundamental functional importance: the anti-codon, which is responsible for specific mRNA codon recognition, and the 3' end, to which the tRNAs corresponding amino acid is attached (by aminoacyl-tRNA synthetases). tRNAs cope with the degeneracy of the genetic code in two manners: having more than one tRNA (with a specific anti-codon) for a particular amino acid; and 'wobble' base-pairing, i.e. permitting non-standard base-pairing at the 3rd anti-codon position.
Source: Rfam by way of RNAcentral
GAGGGUAUAGCUCAGUGGUAGAGCGCAUGCUUAGCAUGCACGAGGUCCUGGGCUCAAUCCCCAGUGCUUCUG